AGGGUGUAAACGCUGCAGACUUGGUGUUGGGAACCCUUCGGGGGUGUCCAGUGCCGGAGAGAAGUUGUUAAGUCUGCUACUUGGGGAGUACGUCCGCAAGGAUGAAACUUAAAGGAAUUGGCGGGGGAGCACCGCAACGGGAGGAGCGUGCGGUUUAAUUGGAUUCAACACCGGAAAACUCACCAGUGAAGACUGUUACAUGAAAGCCAGGCUGAUGACCUUGCUAGAUUUUCAGAGAGGUGGUGCAUGGCGUAGACGU
RNAcentral lists this ribosomal RNA (259 nucleotides) under uncultured archaeon. RNAcentral describes it as "partial 16S ribosomal RNA". It matches the Rfam family "Archaeal small subunit ribosomal RNA", at positions 748 to 1007 of the family's 1478-position model. The record is from RNAcentral.